GUCUGGUUUGGAGGCAAUGAAAAACUGUCUGGAAUUGGGCGCUUGGACAGUUGGGAGCCAGUAGCGCAACCGGCCAAUGUC
RNAcentral lists this non-coding RNA (81 nucleotides) under Kyrpidia tusciae. RNAcentral's name for it is "c-di-GMP-II sequence". It matches the Rfam family "Cyclic di-GMP-II riboswitch aptamer". The record is from RNAcentral. Lineage: Bacteria; Bacillati; Bacillota; Bacilli; Caryophanales; Alicyclobacillaceae.